UCCUCGUUAGUAUAGUGGUGAGUAUCCCCGCCUGUCACGCGGGAGACCUGGGUUCGAUUCCCCGACGGGGAG
Molecule: non-coding RNA, 72 nt
Organism: Ciona savignyi (Pacific transparent sea squirt)
Lineage: Eukaryota; Metazoa; Chordata; Ascidiacea; Phlebobranchia; Cionidae
Source: Rfam